Molecule: ribosomal RNA, 426 nt
Filed under: uncultured bacterium
Lineage: Bacteria
Description: bacterial SSU rRNA
Rfam family: Bacterial small subunit ribosomal RNA
Source: RNAcentral
GACGAACGCUGGCGGCGUGCUUAACACAUGCAAGUCGAACGGUAACAGGCCCUUCGGGUGCUGACGAGUGGCGGAUGGGUGAGUAAUACUUAGGAAUCUACCCUGUAGUGGGGGACAACCCGGGGAAACUCGGGCUAAUACCGCAUACGCUCUACGGAGGAAAGCGGGGGACCGGCAAGGCCUCGCGCUAUUGGAUGAGCCUAAGCCCGAUUAGCUAGUUGGUGGGGUAAUAGCCUACCAAGGCAAUGAUCGGUAGCUGGUCUGAGAGGACGACCAGCCACACUGGGACUGAGACACGGCCCAGACUCCUACGGGAGGCAGCAGUGGGGAAUAUUGGACAAUGGGCGAAAGCCUGAUCCAGCGAUGCCGCGUGUGUGAAGAAGGCCUGCGGGUUGUAAAGCACUUUCAGUAGGGAAGAAAUAGCUU